UUUGAACUAUUUAAAUUAUUCCUACAAGUCACAUUGAAUCAAUAAAAAUCCUUCAUAGGUAGAAUGAGUGACAGUAACUACAAUUAUAUGAAAUUUUUUCUAGCAAUUUCUAUUCAAACUCUAAAACAUUUGCAUUUGAAUGUAUGACUCAGGGAAUAUGAAAGUAGACCUUAAGGGGAAGUAAUCUCUCAUAUUUGCAUGUUUUCAUACCUGACUUCAUCCCUUGAAUCAUUAGCAUAAAUGGACAUUUUCAGCUGGUGCAAGGAUUGGUGGGGAUUGAUUAGCAUUUACUCUGGAAACUAGGUAGUAGCUGACAAAGUCAUAAGAGGGGUGGAUAUUCAUGAAACUUCUUAUCUCUUCCCAGAACUGUUUGGUUUAGCCCUGGAAUCACAGUAUCAAUAGAGUGAACUAUUCUUUUGUGAAGGUCUCUGAGACUAUCUGAGAUAGAGCAGAAUUUGGGUUGUCCUUUCUGGAAUUAGGAUGCAAACAUCUCCAAGUGGAUGUCAACCUGCGACUGUUUAUAGCUAUGGAGCCAUCACUGAGGCCCCACAUCAGAAAUAUUUUCAUGGAACUGUGAGCUGGAAUGAAGAUCUCUUUGUGGUAGUGGCAGCAAGAGAGGUCCUCUCAGGAAUGUAGGGAAGUGGGUUCAUUGUACUGGCAAACUGCAUCGAAAGGUCAAGAAUGGGAAAAUCUCAUCAACUGAUUUCAUCCUUAACCAGCUUGGCUAUGGCCAGAGUCACUCAUCAGUGGGCAACAGUAUUUGACUGUCUGAUUUAUGAUGGACUGUCUCCACAUCCCUAUGCCAAUGGUAAACGAAUAGCAAAAGUGGUUAAUAUUCUUUGGUAGUUGUAACUGUCCCUCAGAACAAUGUAUUACUUAAAAUAUAACCCAUGGGAAAUUAUACUAGUUACCAAGGCUUAGAUACAGCCUUAAGAAAAGCAUAUACUGGGACGCCUGGGUGGCUCAGUUGGUUAAGCGGCUGCC
Mustela erminea (ermine) is the source of this 984-nucleotide long non-coding RNA. RefSeq lists it as uncharacterized. NCBI's taxonomy places the organism in Eukaryota, Metazoa, Chordata, Mammalia, Carnivora, Mustelidae. The transcript is spliced from 3 exons. The record is from RefSeq and is a predicted model, not a curated record.